GACGACCGCUGGCGGCGUGCUUAACACAUGCAAGUCGAACGGGCCUGUCUUCUUUUUUGGGGGUGGGUUGAGUGGCGAACGGGUGAGUAUCACGUGAGUAACCUGCCCUUCGGUCCUGGAUAACCGCUUGAAAGGGCGGCUAAUACGGGGUGGUCCGGUUGGUCCGCAUGGGCUGGUCGGGAUAGAUUCACUGUUUUUGGUGUUUCGGCGGGGGAUGGGCUCGCGGCCUAUCAGCUUGUUGGUGGGGUGAUGGCCUACCAAGGCGGUGACGGGUAGCCGGCCUGAGAGGGUGGGCGGCCACACUGGGACUGAGAUACGGCCCAGACUCCUGCGGGAGGCAGCAGUGGGGGGUAUUGCACAAGGGGCGGAAGCCUGAUGCAGCGACGUUGCGUGAGGGAUGGAGGCCUUCGGGUUGUGAACCUCUGUUUCCGGUGGUGAAGGCCCUGUCCGUGUGGUGGGGUUGACGGUAGCCGGGGAUGAAGCGCCGGCUAACUACGUG
This 499-nucleotide ribosomal RNA is filed under the name uncultured bacterium. Its description in RNAcentral is "partial 16S ribosomal RNA". It matches the Rfam family "Bacterial small subunit ribosomal RNA", at positions 28 to 507 of the family's 1533-position model. The record is from RNAcentral.